RNAcentral lists this unclassified non-coding RNA (251 nucleotides) under Ascomycota sp. RNAcentral's name for it is "partial contains small subunit ribosomal RNA, internal transcribed spacer 1, and 5.8S ribosomal RNA". The stretch from base 1 to 47 matches the Rfam family "Eukaryotic small subunit ribosomal RNA", at positions 1785 to 1831 of the family's 1831-position model. Lineage: Eukaryota; Fungi; Ascomycota. The record is from RNAcentral.
AAAGUCGUAACAAGGUCUCCGUUGGUGAACCAGCGGAGGGAUCAUUACCGAGUUGCAAAACUCCCAAACCCCAAUGUUUAUCUAUCUCGAAAACGUCUGCUUCGGCGGGCGGCCCCAGGGCGGGGCCGCAGCCUAGCGCUUCGGCGCCGGGCGCCCGCCGGAGAGGACAACCCAAAACUCUUGUUUUCCAUGAAACUCUGAGCAUAAAAGACAAAUAGUCAAAACUUUCAACAACGGAUCUCUUGGUUCUG